GAUGAACGCUAGCUACAGGCUUAACACAUGCAAGUUGCGGGGCAGCAUGUCGGUUGCUUGCAACCGAUGAUGACGACCGGCGCACGGGUGAGUAACGCGUAUCCAACCUACCCUUCACCACGGAAUAAUCCAGUGAAAAUUGGUCUAAUACCGUAUGAGGUCAUACGAUGGCAUCAGAAUAUGACGAAAGGUUUAGCGGUGAAGGAUGGGGAUGCGUCUGAUUAGCUUGUUGGUGAGGUAACGGCUCACCAAGGCGACGAUCAGUAGGGGUUCUGAGAGGAAGGUCCCCCACAUUGGAACUGAGACACGGUCCAAACUCCUACGGGAGGCAGCAGUGAGGAAUAUUGGGUCAAUGGGCGAGAGCCUGAACCAGCCAAGUAGCGUGCAGGACGACGGCCCUAUGGGUUGUAAACUGCUUUUAUAGGGAUAAAGUGAGUCUCGUGAGACUUUUUGCAUGUACCUUAUGAAUA
RNAcentral lists this ribosomal RNA (470 nucleotides) under uncultured bacterium. Its description in RNAcentral is "bacterial SSU rRNA". It matches the Rfam family "Bacterial small subunit ribosomal RNA", at positions 28 to 488 of the family's 1533-position model. The record is from RNAcentral.